CAUGCAUGUCUAAGUACAAACUAUUUUAAAAGUGAAACCGCAAAAGGCUCAUUAUAUCAGUUAUGGUUUAUUAGAUCAUUAACAGUUACUUGGAUAACUGUGGUAAUUCUAGAGCUAAUACAUGCAAUAUAAACAUGAACCGUAUGGAACAUGUGCUCUUAUUAGUCUAAAACCAAGCGAUUUUUUUUAAAAAUCGUUAUAAUGGUUGAACUCUAGAUAAUUUGCCAAUCGUAUGGUCUUGUACCGACGAUAGAUCUUUUAAAUGUCUGCCCUAUCAACUAUUGAUGGUAGUAUUUAGGACUACCAUGGUUGCAACGGGUAACGGGGAAUCAGGGUUCGAUUCCGGAGAGGGAGCCUGAGAAACAGCUACCACAUCUAAGGAAAGCA
This 387-nucleotide ribosomal RNA is filed under the name Rhoga sp. 1 GS-2013. RNAcentral's name for it is "SSU rRNA". It matches the Rfam family "Eukaryotic small subunit ribosomal RNA", at positions 50 to 427 of the family's 1831-position model. Lineage: Eukaryota; Metazoa; Arthropoda; Insecta; Diptera; Syrphidae. The record is from RNAcentral.